AUGGAAGGAAUGGAAUGGGAAGAAGGAAUGAAGGAAGAGGAGAGGAAGGAAGGAGGAAUGAAGGAAGAGGAGUGGAAGGAAGAAGGAAUGAAGGAAGGAAGAAGGAAUGAAGGAAGGAAGGAAGGAGGAAGGAAGGAAGGAAGGAAGGAAGGAAGGAGGAAGGAAGGGAAGGAAGGAAGGAAGGAAGGAAGGGAGGAAGGAAGAAGGAAGGAAGGAAGGAAGGAAGAAGGAAGGAAGGAAGGAAGGAAGGAAGAAGGAAGGAAGGAAGGAAGGAAGGAAGGAAGGAAGGAAGGGAAAGGAAGGAAGGAAGGAAGGAAGGAGGAAGGAAGGAGGAAGGAAGGAAGAAGGAAGGAAGGAGGAAAGGAAGGAAAAGGAAGGAAGGAAGAAGGAAGGAAGGAAGGAAGGAAGGAGGAAGGGAAGGAAGGAAGGAAGGAGGAAGGGAAGGGAGGAAGGGAAGGAAGGAAGAAGGAAGGAAGGAAGGAAGGAAGGAGGAAGGAAGGAAGGAAGGGAAGGAAGGAAGGAGGGAAGGAAGGAGGAAGGAAGGAGGAAGGGAAGGAAGGAAGGAGGAAGGGAAGGAAGGAAGAAGGAAGGAAGGGAAGGAAGGAGGAAGGAAGGAAGAAGGGAAGGGAGGGGAAGGAAGGAAGGAGGAAGGAAGGAAGGGAAGGAAGGAGGAAGGAAGGAAGAAGGAAGGAAGGGAAGGAAGGAAGGAAGGAAGAAGAAGGAAGGAAGGAAGGAAGGAAGGAAGAAGGAAGGAAGGGAGGGAAGGAAGGAAGGAUCCUCGGCAGAUGCACUGAGCCUGUCGGUCUUUGUGGUGCCGCAGCAACCACAAGGCCUCACGCCGGGCCGGCCCCAGAUUCGCCCUGCAGGACGUGGACGACGAGGUUUCUGCUCCACUGUCAACGCCCGAGCACGCGGCCCUCACAGGAGAAGCUCAGCGACCACCUGGCGGCACGGAGGGCUCAGACACGUCACCCCACCGGGAUUUCUAGAAGCCUUUGCGCUGGUGCGUUCACUCCCUUUUACAGAUGA
This 1029-nucleotide long non-coding RNA is filed under the name Papio anubis (olive baboon). Its description in RNAcentral is "lncRNA (ENSPANG00000044367.1)". Lineage: Eukaryota; Metazoa; Chordata; Mammalia; Primates; Cercopithecidae. The record is from RNAcentral.